Long non-coding RNA from Dermochelys coriacea (leatherback sea turtle), 858 nucleotides. RefSeq lists it as uncharacterized. The record is from RefSeq and is a predicted model, not a curated record. The transcript has 4 exons. Lineage: Eukaryota; Metazoa; Chordata; Testudines; Dermochelyidae.
CCUGGCUUUGUUAUAAGGGCUCAGGGAGGAGCUGGAUCAGUCUCUCUCUAGCUCUGGAGAGAGAAGGACCUGGCUACCUGGGAGAGAAGGGUACCUGAGGUAGACUAGAGAUGGGGAAAGGCAAGAGAUGCUGGGGCGCUCCAGCCUGGUAACUCCCCAGGCUGUAGGCCGUGUGCAAGGCCUAAAGAAGGUGGCAACAGUUCCUCCAUGAGGAUGCCAUGAGGUCUUUGGUCAAGGCCAGCUACCAAAACCCUUCCAGUGUUCUGGGAGGGAGGGAGAGAGACUAUAUAGAGUCCCCUUCACGGUUCAUCUACAGAAGUGCUUUAAGACUAACACGGCUGCUACUCUGAAACCUUACUUCACACAUGUUUGCUAUCUACAUGGAGAGGAGGCCAGUGUUUUCUGGGAUCCCCAUGGAGUACGAAAUCAGUGCGGUAGCAUUUGAAGGAUAGAGGCAUCCUUCGAUACAUCGUGGGCACAUCUUAAAAGAAGAAUUCCUGAACAUACAACACUAAAUUAGGAAGUAUAAAAAACUAGAUCCUUGAACUAUUGCUUUACAGAGCAAGCAUUUGCGAACAUAUAAACCCCAAUUAGUCUUAAUCUGCCUCUGCUCAUUAGAGCCACAUUUGAAUCGUAAAUGGGGUAUGGUUCAAUAUCACGUCUUUGCACACAAAGCAGUAAACCCAGAAUAGAAGAUAAAACCUCAUGGAAAACAGAGAGCACCAACACCAACAAAACUGGGUUUUGUUUGUGUUGAUGAACACCGAUUAGCCCCCACUUCUCUGCUCUGUGACUCUCCAGUCUUAAACAUUAGAUUAAAAAUCUUUUGAAAGGUAGUUUUCUGGCAGCUUCACCUGC